UUAUGCCAGUGAUGUGUCCUUCUGUUACAGCCAUUUUUGCUGGUUUGGGAAGGAGGGCCGUGAUCCGCACUGCCCCACAUGAUCAGAUGCUGCGGAGGCAAUGUGGGACCAAAGCAUGGGUGCAUGAGGCUGGCUGAGCUACUGUUCUGAAAAAGGAGAAAGACUGGGAAAGAGCGCUGAAUCACCACCAGACCUCCUUGGACACAAACAGAGUUAAUCUCUUUCCUGGAGCCUAUCAAGCCAAGAAUUACGUGAGCAUUUAAUUGCUACUCAGAAGCUAUUUCCUA
This is a long non-coding RNA of Rhineura floridana, 287 nucleotides long. RefSeq lists it as uncharacterized. The transcript is spliced from 3 exons. NCBI's taxonomy places the organism in Eukaryota, Metazoa, Chordata, Lepidosauria, Squamata, Rhineuridae. The record is from RefSeq and is a predicted model, not a curated record.